RNAcentral lists this ribosomal RNA (781 nucleotides) under uncultured archaeon. RNAcentral's name for it is "bacterial SSU rRNA". It matches the Rfam family "Archaeal small subunit ribosomal RNA", at positions 109 to 879 of the family's 1478-position model. The record is from RNAcentral.
CAAACUUUAGCGGGAACCCCGGGAACUGGGGCUAAUACCCGAUAGGUGAGGGGGCCUGGAAUGGUUCUUCACUUAAAAGGCGUUGGAACCAUGCUUUUCAACGUCGCCUAAGGAUGGGGCCGCGACCGAUCAGGUUGUUGGUGAGGUAACGGCUCACCAAGCCUAUAACCGGUACGGGCCGUGAGAGCGGGAGCCCGGAGAUGGACACUGAGACAAGGGCCCAGGCCCUACGGGGCGCAGCAGUCGCGAAAACUCCGCAAUGCGCGAAAGCGUGACGGGGCUACCCCGAGUGCCGUCCGCUGAGGAUGGCUUUUCCCCGGUGUAAUGAGCCGGGGGAAUAAGGAGAGGGCAAGCCUGGUGUCAGCCGCCGCGGUAAUACCAGCUCUCCGAGUGGUAGGGACGACUAUUGGGCUUAAAGCGUCCGUAGCCGGCUUAGCAAGUCUCCUGUUAAAUUCAACGACCUAAUCGUUGAGAUGCGGGAGAUACUACUAGGCUAGGAGGCGAGAGAGGCCGACGGUAUUCCCGGGGUAGGGGUGAAAUCCUAUAAUCCCGGGAGGACCACCAGUGGCGAAGGCUGUCGGCUAGAACGCGCUCGACGGUGAGGGACGAAAGCUGGGGGAGCGAACCGGAUUAGAUACCCGGGUAGUCCCAGCUGUAAACGAUGCGGGCUAGGUGUUGGGGUGGCUACGAGCCACUUCAGUGCCGCAGGGAAACCAUUAAGCCCGCCGCCUGGGGAGUACGGCCGCAAGGCUGAAACUUAAAGGAAUUGGCGGGGGAGCAC